ACAGCUCUUUAAACAAAGCAUAGAAUGAAGGAAGAAGUGUAUUAUAAUCCACUACAAAUAGUAUAUAAACCAAAAAAUUCAUAGCACUUUGCUGACCUAUGAACUACUUAGGAAUGGUAUCUUUAUUCUUAUCGGCUCAACUAAGCCCUUUGCUAUUUGCUAGAGAGCAGUACUGUACAAAAGAAACAAAACGGUAUCUGGUAUCACUCAUUUUGAAGCAGUUUACUAUAGAGGUAUAUUGUCAAGAACAACAUCUUUUUAUGAUAAAGAAUAGGUAACAUUUUCAAUAAUAAUGAAUGAAAACCCAAAAUAAUCAUGGUUUAAUGGGGAAAGGAAAAAGGUAAAAGUGAAGAUGCUGCAACUUCAUAGUAAUAGCUAGAUAAAUUAUCAGUAAGAAUGUAAUUGAAACUUAGGGGACAAGGAAAAGAGAAAAAGAGGGAUAGUUAGGAGAAGAAAUCCACAGCCCUUUAAUUGCCAUUUUGGAUGGACAAUGUAAUUUGUUGUGGAAUAAAAACU
RNAcentral lists this unclassified non-coding RNA (516 nucleotides) under Hevea brasiliensis (rubber tree). Lineage: Eukaryota; Viridiplantae; Streptophyta; Magnoliopsida; Malpighiales; Euphorbiaceae. The record is from RNAcentral.